RNAcentral lists this ribosomal RNA (253 nucleotides) under uncultured bacterium. Its description in RNAcentral is "partial 16S ribosomal RNA". It matches the Rfam family "Bacterial small subunit ribosomal RNA", at positions 524 to 776 of the family's 1533-position model. The record is from RNAcentral.
UACGGAGGGUGCAAGCGUUGCUCGGAAUUAUUGGGCGUAAAGGGUAGGUAGGUGGUCUCAUUUGUCUGGGGUGAAAGCCUUGAGCUUAACUCAAGAAGUGCCCCAGAAACGGUGGGACUCGAGUCCUGGAGAGGGUCGUGGAAUUCCCGGUGUAGCGGUGAAAUGCGUAGAGAUCGGGAGGAACACCAGAGGCGAAGGCGGCGACCUGGAAAGGAACUGACACUCAACUACGAAAGCGUGGGGAGCAAACAGG